This 458-nucleotide ribosomal RNA is filed under the name uncultured bacterium. RNAcentral describes it as "partial 16S ribosomal RNA". It matches the Rfam family "Bacterial small subunit ribosomal RNA", at positions 338 to 795 of the family's 1533-position model. The record is from RNAcentral.
CCUACGGGUGGCAGCAGUGGGGAAUAUUGCACAAUGGGGGAAACCCUGAUGCAGCGACGCCGCGUGAGUGAAGAAGUAUUUCGGUAUGUAAAGCUCUAUCAGCAGGGAAGAAAUAGCGACCUAUGGGUCGCCAGACGGUACCUGGUAAAGAAGCCCCGGGUAACUACGGGCAAGCAGCCGCGGUAAUAGGUAGGGGGCAAGCGUUAUCCGGAGUUCCUGGUUGUAAAGGGUGAGUAGACGGCAGCGCAAGUCUUAAGUUAAAUGCCGGGGCUUAACCCCGGGACUGCUUUGGAAACUGUGCAGCUAGAGUGCAUGAGAGGUAAGUGGAAUUCCUAGUGUAGCGGUGAAAUGCGUAGAUAUUAGGAGGAACACCAGUGGCGAAGGCGGCUUACUGGACUGAAACUGACGUUGAGGCUCGAAAGCGUGGGGAGCAAACAGGAUUAGAUACCCUUGUAGUC